RNAcentral lists this transfer RNA (64 nucleotides) under Platycnemis foliacea. RNAcentral describes it as "tRNA-Cys". The record is from RNAcentral. Lineage: Eukaryota; Metazoa; Arthropoda; Insecta; Odonata; Platycnemididae.
GGUUUUAUAGUCAAAUUAUGAUAUUAGACUGCAAUUCUAGAGUUGUUAUUUUUAGCUAAAACCU